Long non-coding RNA from Pipra filicauda (Wire-tailed manakin), 3800 nucleotides. RefSeq lists it as uncharacterized. The record is from RefSeq and is a predicted model, not a curated record. NCBI's taxonomy places the organism in Eukaryota, Metazoa, Chordata, Aves, Passeriformes, Pipridae. The transcript has 2 exons.
AGUGGAGCCAAGUAGUCCUGCAGCCUGCAUGCAGUUGCACAUCAACUGUGUCCUCUGUCUCUGCAGCUGCUGCCAGGGCCUCGGGAUCCAUCCUACCUAGUGGAGAACAACUGGAAACUGAAAGUACUAUUUUUUGUACCUGGCAAGCCCUGGAUGAGUGGCCUGUGGAGGACAUUUUUAGUGCAUCCACUGGUCUCAGUGGGACUCUGGUCCCCUGUAGGACGUCCUGCAGAUACCGUAGCACAAACAAUACUAAUCAAGCAACAUCACAGUAGAGCUGGUGCUCUAUAGAGCUGGGAUAUCGCCCGUCCUCUAAUUAUUUCUGUGCUUCUGUCAGUUGCAAGUCUUGACUGUUAAUGCAGCACCCAAAACUAAUGUUAGGAGCAUAUUCUCCUCUCCCUCCCCCCACUUUCUCCCCCUCUCCUUCUUCCCCUGCCUCCUACUCUCCCAAUCCCUCCCCCUUUCUCUCUUUUACAGUUUGUUUUAAUGCAAGCAUCAGUGAUGAGGAGCUGCUUUAAUUUGUUCUUUCUGAUUUGGUGUCCCAGGCGGUGCUACUCCCAGAAAGCACAUCCCUUGCCUGACAUCUUGGGGAUAGGGAGCUCAUUCGCUUCUGAUUAAUGAGCUUUUGAUUGGACUUUACAUGCUACAAAUUGAAACACUGCAUAUCCAAAGUAUAUUGGGAGUUACCUGAACUAAAUGUUAUGCAAGUCUUUUUUUUUUUCUUUCUUUUUCAUCACAGGACAAUGUUCUUACUGUAGCAGCAGCAAACUUUUUACUAAAGCUAAAAACAUGCAACAACAGACCAUCCGAGAAAGAAAGGGAAUAUCCCACAGCCAUAGUUUUUCCUCAUUUGAUCACACCUGAGAUUAAAUAAUAUCUCAGAUAUUUUGCAUGUCACUCUGAGAGAGAUUCUCCAAUUGGAGGAUAUUGGCAUGCUUUCUGAAUGUAAAAUCUGAAAGCAAAUGGUGCCAUUGGGACCCAUGUACAUGGUUAGUUGUGAGCUGCACCAACCCUAGAAUAAAUGAGGUCCAAAGACAGGUGUGCACCUUGGAGAGGGACAUAUGGAAGGUACUAUUCUAUUAAUGAUGAGGCCCUUUUUUAUUAGCUGAGGUUAAAUGGCCAUUUUAACUCACCAGUCUCCAAUAAUAAUGAGCCUUCUUUUCAUGAGGAACAGUCUGAACAUCAUUUUGGCUCUCAUGAACUGGCUUAUACGGAGUAAGAACACAUGAUCCUCACCAAUUACUGUGGAACUAGAAAAUUAUUGUUUCUUGUCUUUGUUUCCUUUUCUUCUUUCUGGGCAUUAAGGGUGGAAAAAAAGCAAAUUUUAGAAUUGUAUGUGCAGCUUAGACCCAGCAUAGCUCUUCCUGUAAGACUGUGUCCUGUGGUUGCCUCACCACUUUGGAGGCAGCAUUUUGUUCUCUGCUGCCUCCUGAAGAGUGAACAGGUGGGGACUGAGGAUGAGGCUCUGUCCUCUUCCUUGGUUGCUGGUGCACACAUGUAGUAUCAGCUAGAGAGGAAGGAAUAACAGAACUGAACCAGUGAUCACAAAGCUUGGUUUAUUUUAUGCAAACUCAUUUCAUCUGUGUUUAAAAAAGAAAAAAUGCAUGCAAGGUAUGACCAAAAUGUCACUGCAAAUCAGGAGCAGAGCAAGGAAAAAAGUUAAAAUUUAUGUAUUGUUUCCUGUCAUAUGUUUAAACUUUGUGAAACAUAAAUAUAGACUUUUUUCUUUCUUUUUACCUACCACAGAUUUCUUAAGCUUAAAGAAGAAGACUCAAAGUAUUUCUUCCUGUGGAGGAAUACCCCUUGUCAGAGUGUAUUUUCUUGUACUGCUUCAUUAGUGCAAGGGAUCAGUGACCAAAUAUAUUAGGCAUCCAUUGUGUAUAAGGAAGAUAAAUAAGGAAUGAUUUGUCAUGAAUUUUUUCUUUGUAUCAAUUAGACAUGUGGCACAGAGAUGAGAUAUAAUCUGUGUUUUCUUCUGCUUUCCACCCCUUAAUGCUUCUGACUCAUAUUUCAUUGUACUUGCAUCUUUAUUAGGUUUCUCUUGUUUGCAGUGUUCUAUUAUAAUGACUUUGUCUUUCACAGGUCAGUACUGUUGAUUGCAUUACAUCUGGCCUGGACUGCAGCUGAAUCAGUUUUGGGGGACCCAGCAGAAAGUUACUGCUGUAACUGGCCACAGCUUGUUCUUUGAUGAAAGGUGAAUAUUUCUAUAACCAUAGAUCUUCUCAGCUGCUCAAAAUAUCCAAACUGCAACUUUGCUCCUUCAGUCCUGCUUGGUUGAUAUGGGGCGAGAGGUGGACGUUGUCCCUAUGAAGUUCUCCAAGGCUUUCCAUUCAGUUUGCCCCAGCUUCCUCCUAGAGAAAUCGAUGUGUGACAAUCUAGACAAGUGGUCUGUGGGAUGGGUGGAAAGCUGCACCCAGAGAGGUAUGAUAAAUAGCUCUUUUUCAAGCUGGCAACCCAUCACAGGUGGACCCAAAGCUGUUGAUUAUCUUCAUGAGUGAUCUGGACAAUGGGAUCAAAUGGUCCCUGUUGAAAUCUGCUGGUGAUUCCAAACUGAGUGGGGAAAUGGAUAUUUUGGAAGGGAGAACCACUCUGCAGGAAGACCUGUAUGGGCUGGAAGAGUGGAUCAACAAGAACCUUAUAAAGUACAACAAAGACAAACAUAAGGCCUUGCACCUGGGAAAGCAUAAUCCAGGACUGCAGCACAGGCUGGGGUCUAUGGAGAAGUGGAAGAGCUCUGUGGAAAGUGACCCAGGGGUCCUGGGGGAAAUCAAAUUCAGUGUGAGUGAACUGUGAACUCCUGUGGCAAAGAGAGCCAACGAGAUGCUGCACUGCAUCAGCAAAGGCAUCAUCUGCAGAGGGAAAAAAAGGCCAUUAUCUCACUCCACUCAGUGCUUGUCAGGCCACACCUGAAAUACUGUGCUCAGUUUUAGUCCGUGAUAUUCGAGGAGGCUGGAGAGAGUCCAGACAAGGACCGUAAAGAUGAUCUAAGGACUAGAAAACCUGUCGUGUGGGGAAAGGCUGAGACAGAUGGGUUUGUUCAGCCUUGGGAAAAGAAGGCUCAGGGGAGACCUUGUCACCAUGUUCCAGUGGCUACAAAGAAGAUGGAAACUCUUUUUGCGAGGAGUCACAUGGAAAAGACAAGGGAUAAUGGGUACAAGUUACACCUGGCGAGGUUCCAGUUGAACACAGGAGGAAAAUUUUUCGCAAGGAGAACAAUCAACCAUUGUAAUAAUCUUCUCCCCAGGGAAGUGGUGAAUUCCCCAGCAUGGACACUUUUAAGAUCCAGUUGAACAGAGUGUUGUGCCAUCUUCUCUAGGUCUUUCUUUGGCCAUGGAAAGUUGGAUCAGAUGAUCCCUGAGGUCCCUUCCAACCUGGUGUUUUAUGAUUCUGUGAAUUCAGGCCAAACUCGAAUCAGUUUUUCCAGAUAUUUUAAACAUGUUAAUUAUACAAGCAUAGACUCCCUAGUUUAGUGGGGGUUUUUUUGGUUGUUUUGUUGGGUUUUUUUUGUUUGUUUGUUUGUUUUUUAAACUAGGCUGUGUAGUAUAAAGAAUGUUUGUAUUAGUAGUUUCAAGAUUCAUAAUGUAUCCUAUUUCUGUGUUUACAGUAUGUUGCAGAAUGUCAAAAGAUCUCAUUUUAUGCUUAGAAUAAAAAAAUUCUAGACUUGUCAUAGCUAUUAUGCAGUGUAAAACAAAAUCACUACAAAACAACUGCUAAUUCUGUUGGCCUUUGAUUGCUGUCAAGUCUUUUAUAAUUCUGUAAUCUGACUGUGCUAUGAAUAAAUAAGGGCAAUUUACUUUGAA